UGUAACGCCAUCAUCUGCAGCAUGAUGCCAUCAAUUGAGCUGGUGACAACAUCCAUGACGUUGAACUCAUGGGACCCAAAUUUGAUACAUUAACUCAGUGUCCUGGUUGAUUCUAAGUGAGAUCUCCCCCGCCUCUGUCAGAGGGAGGGCCAUCUCUCUUGCCACGGUCCUCAACUGGGGAACCAAUCUCGUUGUAUCACUCACAUUUCUAAAUGUCAUUGAAAACACUGGGGUCUCAUGGACGUUUGUCAUGUUUAGCGUUGUUUGUGCUGUGUCUGUGAUUUUUAUAUAUUGUUUUUUUGCUGUCCCUGAAACCCAGAAAAAGUCCCUAAAACAAAUCUCCAAAGAGCUUAAUAACAGAUCCCUGAAGUCAGAAAUUUGUGCAUAUUGUAAACGGCUUCACUGCUGCAAUCCACUGACUGGUUCACCCAUGAAGCUGCCAAAUUUCCAUCACGUUCAGAGUACAUGUACUGACUCCUUCAAUGAAAUCUCUUAAUUAUUUAAAAAUUCUUUGGUAUUUAUUGAUGCACAAAUUUACAACUAUGUCAUAUCAAAGGUAAUUAUGUAUUACCGUAAUUUGUAUAUAGUACAUUUUAUUUUAUUUUUUUAUUUUACUUUUUUGUUGUUGUUGAGAUUAUUACUCCUUUAACUCAUAUGGCAUAAGCCACAAUUUAUAUAUGUUAAUAUAUGUUCCUAAUUUACUAAUUGACUCAAACAUUUCUGCUUAUUUAUUGUAUUUAUACAUUUUAAGCAUAUCAAAAUGUGUACUCGUACUUAAUUUGAUGACACAACUUUGUGAUAUUUCUCUUCUUUUUUACAUUGGUUUAUUUCUUAGUUCUGCUUUGUAGUACACUUUUACUGUACAAAAGCAGAGCAUAUUUUGAGAAAUUGUGAUGAAUUUACUAAUUAUAUGUCUCUUUAAUUUCACCAAUAUUGUUUAUACCUAUAUUGUGGAAUAAUGUUCAAUA
Magallana angulata is the source of this 968-nucleotide long non-coding RNA. RefSeq lists it as uncharacterized. The transcript is spliced from 4 exons. Lineage: Eukaryota; Metazoa; Mollusca; Bivalvia; Ostreida; Ostreidae. The record is from RefSeq and is a predicted model, not a curated record.